GGGGGUUGGGGGUGGGGG
RNAcentral lists this microRNA (18 nucleotides) under Macrophomina phaseolina MS6. RNAcentral's name for it is "miR-1346". The record is from RNAcentral. Lineage: Eukaryota; Fungi; Ascomycota; Dothideomycetes; Botryosphaeriales; Botryosphaeriaceae.